Molecule: ribosomal RNA, 364 nt
Filed under: Cerodolus chrysomeloides
Lineage: Eukaryota; Metazoa; Arthropoda; Insecta; Coleoptera; Tenebrionidae
Description: partial 12S ribosomal RNA
Source: RNAcentral
CCCUAUUAUUUUUAUUGUAAAUUAUUAAGCCGGAAUUAUUAUGAGUUAUGGUCUUUAAAAUUAAAAAAUUUGGCGGUAUUUUAGUCUGUUCAGAGGAACCUGUUUCUUGAUCGAUGGUCCACGAUUAGUUAUACUUUAACUUUAAAUUUAUAUAUCGUCGUUAUUAAAAAUUCUAGGAGGAUAAUAAUUUUUGGAAUUCUUUAUUUAGGAAAAGUUCAGAUCAAGGUGUAGUUUAUGUUGAAGAUGAAAUGGGUUACAUUAUAUUUAUAUGUGGUUAUUGAUUUUAAAAUUUGGUAUAAAAUGGAUUUGAUAGUAAAUUUUUUUUAUGAAAUUUGAUUUAGCUCUAAAAUAUGCACACAUCGCC